CCAAGCGACGCUCUCUAGCCAAGAGAGCACUGGGGUUAGGGAUAUACAUACAAGAGUUCUAACUCUUUCAUUCAUUGACUAUGUGAUCCUGCCCUCUCUGAGCCUCAAUUUACUCAUCAAUAAAUUGGGAGCAAUAACUUUACCAGGAUUAUGCAGGUGCAAGAGUUGCUUGCUGGUCUAGCCUGGGGAACCGACAGUAAAGAAAUCACCUGCAAUGCAAGAGACGCGGGUUCGAUCUGUGAGUCAGGAAGAUUCCCUGGAGGAAGGCAUGGCUACCCACUCCAGUACUCUUGCCUGGGGACUUGCAUGCACAGAGGAGCCUGGCGGGCUACAGAUCAUGGGGUCACAAAGAGUCCGACACGACUGAGCAACUGAAUACUCACGAUCAUCCUACAGGGCCUUGGAGGCAGGCGCUGUUUGACUCAGUUCAGCUCAGUAAACCCUGUGGAGCCCUGUCCGCAGCAGGUGAUGGUGCCAGCCAGGCUGCCUGCCUUCCCGCUGCACCUGGGGCCAGGACGAGGAGAAGGAGUCCGUCUACCUGCCGGGCACAGGAAACACAAGAGAGGAUUGAAGGCAGAGGCCACAUCUGAUCCACCCCAGUGCCUAGCUCAGGGUCUGCACAGAGCGGAGGUGUGGGUGUGUUUGUUGAACGGAUCUCAUCUGAACCGAACUGGCGGUGCCUUGUGAAGGGCCACAGACUUUGAUCCUUCUCUGGCUCCCAGGCAGAGUACCACGUUUCGGGUUUAGCAUCCCUACCAAGUGGACAUGCAGAGGCACAGAGGCCCUGAGAGAUAGGAAACUGAAAGGGACAUCAGGCUUCUCGUGCUCAUGUUCCAGGGGAGGAAGCUGAAGCGCAGAGCGACAAAGGCACAGUCCAUGGGCUGAAGAUCAGAGGGCAUAACAUGAAUCACGCUCAGAUGGCCUUGGCCCUGUCCCAUGGCUCUCCUCCCAGAAAUGCUAAAGUCUAGGUUUCCUCAUCUGCAAAACUGGGCUGGAUGCAGCAAUCUCUGGAAGCUCAGCCACAGUCCAGUUCUGUGAACUCACAGACUCCAGGCGCCGCGGUAGGGGAGGAGAGAUCAUUCCAGAGGCUGUUUAUCAUCUUGUCGUACCCCCUUGAGCUCUUGGAGCAAAACAUUCCCAAGGAGCAGGGUGAUUCAUCACAGCACCAUUUGCCAGUUCCAGAGAAAAGACAGACCAUGAAAUACAUUCUGCAACUGUUAAACAGGAGACAAAGAAAUUUUAAGAUUAAGUUUCUCUUUAGCAGACGGAGAAGGAAUUGGGAUAUAUAUAUAUAUAUACACUUUUUUUUUUUUUUACCUCCCAGAGAAUCAGGCUUUGAGGGAAGGAAACUAUCAUGGUUUCAGCCAAAUUGUCCCAAAAUGCAAGGUGGCAUCCUCAGUGAACCCCAAGGACAACAUUGCUUUUUAAACAACAUGUGGACUGAACCUGACAACAGCAACUGUGACGGCUGACUGACCGGAUGUGAGUUAAAACCAAAUUAGGUUGACUGCUUUUGUUGUUCUUGGCACUAAUCCAUUCCAGAACUCUGAUGGUCAAAAGGAAGAUCAGAAACUUAUCUUGCUUGCUCCACUUAAAUUAAGCAAAGGAGAGCAUGCUGGAUGGUUUGGACAUCUUGUAACUCAAGAAGACAAGGAGGGAGGUAACAGGUGAGUCUGGUUGGGGGAUCUAGGGGGAAACAUGGUUUAAUUGCGAGAACUUGAAUGGUGAGCUUCCACCAUUCACAGAAAACCACCGGAACUGCUCCAGGAGUGCAGGAACAGGUGGAUAACCCAUCUCUUAUUUUGAAGUCACUGGAUAUCUAUGCCCUGAGUUUGCAUCUCUUAUAAUACGAUUGUUAUAUUCAAGUCUUUAAAAAUGGUACUUCUUGUACAUAGGUAGAUG
Dama dama (fallow deer) is the source of this 1902-nucleotide long non-coding RNA. RefSeq lists it as uncharacterized. The record is from RefSeq and is a predicted model, not a curated record. The transcript is spliced from 4 exons. NCBI's taxonomy places the organism in Eukaryota, Metazoa, Chordata, Mammalia, Artiodactyla, Cervidae.